This 72-nucleotide transfer RNA is filed under the name marine eukaryotic metagenome. It matches the Rfam family "tRNA". From Rfam's summary of the family: Transfer RNA (tRNA) molecules are approximately 80 nucleotides in length. The record is from RNAcentral.
GGGCUAUAGCUCAGCUGGCUAGAGCAUCUGCAUGGCAUGCAGAGGGUCGAGGGUUCGAAUCCCUCUAGCUCC